RNAcentral lists this ribosomal RNA (233 nucleotides) under uncultured bacterium. RNAcentral describes it as "partial 16S ribosomal RNA". It matches the Rfam family "Bacterial small subunit ribosomal RNA", at positions 1094 to 1328 of the family's 1533-position model. The record is from RNAcentral.
GAGCACACCCCUCGUCAUUAGUUCCCAUCAUUAAGUUGGGCACUCUAAUGAGACUGCCGGUGACAAACCGGAGGAAGGUGGGGAUGACGUCAAGUCAUCAUGCCCCUUAUGACCUGGGCUACACACGUGCUACAAUGGACGGUACAACGAGAAGCGAACCUGCGAAGGCAAGCGGAUCUCUGAAAGCCGUUCUCAGUUCGGACUGUAGGCUGCAACUCGCCUACACGAAGCUG